AUGGACAAGCUGCCCCCCUCCAUGCGCAAGAGGCUCUACAGCCUGCCCCAGCAGAUCGGACCCAAGGCGUCGAUCAUGGACGAGGAGGAUGACAGCGACAAGGACACCCGGAGGAAAAGCAUCAGGCUGAAGCCACUGCCUUCGCCCUCUGCUGGGAGCACCCGGGCCCUCGGGGGGGACCCCGGCAGAGGGGGGGACCCCGGCCUCCUGGAGACGGAGGCCGGCGGCAAGGGCGCCAAGACCAGCACCAACGGGGACUGCCGCCGCUUCAAAGGGAGCCUGUCCUCGCUGACCAGCAGGCACCUCCACGACGCGGCCGAGGAGAAGAGGCUGAUCGGCGGCGAAGGGGAGCCGGCCUCCCCCAGCGAGGACAAGAGCCCCCCCGGCAGUGGGGAGCUGGAGCAGGGGCUGCCGGCGCCCCCACCGCCCGCGUCCCCCCCGGAGCCUCAGCAGCCCCCCCGGGCCUGCUCCUCCACUUCCAUCAAAGUGGAAGGAGGUGGAGGGUGCGACCAGAUCACCCCAGAUGAGGAGCAGAGGCUGGGCCAAGCCGGUUUCAUGCAGAGGCAGUUCGGGGCCAUGCUCCAGCCGGGGGUCAACAAAUUCUCCUUGAGGAUGUUUGGCAGCCAGAAGGCCGUGGAGAGGGAGCAGGAGAGGGUUAAGUCUGCCGGGUUCUGGAUCAUCCACCCCUACAGCGACUUCAGGUUUUAUUGGGAUUUGACCAUGCUGCUCCUGAUGGUAGGGAACCUGAUCAUCAUCCCUGUGGGCAUCACUUUCUUCAAGGAUGAAAACACUACCCCAUGGAUUGUCUUCAAUGUGGUUUCGGACACGUUCUUCCUCAUCGACCUUGUCCUCAACUUCCGAACAGGCAUCGUGGUGGAGGACAACACCGAGAUCAUCCUGGACCCACAGAGGAUCAAGAUGAAGUACCUCAAGAGCUGGUUUGUGGUGGAUUUUAUCUCCUCCAUCCCUGUGGACUAUAUCUUCCUGAUCGUGGAGACCCGCAUUGACUCGGAGGUGUACAAGACGGCCCGGGCCCUGCGCAUCGUGCGCUUCACCAAGAUCCUGAGCCUGCUCCGGCUGCUGAGGCUCUCCCGGCUCAUCCGCUACAUCCACCAGUGGGAGGAGAUCUUCCACAUGACCUACGAUCUGGCCAGUGCCGUGGUGAGGAUCGUGAACCUCAUUGGGAUGAUGCUGCUGCUGUGCCACUGGGACGGCUGCCUCCAGUUCCUGGUGCCGAUGCUGCAGGACUUCCCCGACGACUGCUGGGUGUCCCUGAACCGCAUGGUGAACGACUCCUGGGGGAAGCAGUAUUCCUACGCCCUGUUCAAGGCCAUGAGCCACAUGCUGUGCAUCGGCUACGGGCAGCAGGCGCCCGUGGGCAUGUCGGACGUGUGGCUCACCAUGCUCAGCAUGAUCGUGGGGGCCACCUGCUACGCCAUGUUCAUCGGCCACGCCACCGCCCUCAUCCAGUCCCUGGACUCCUCCCGCCGCCAGUACCAGGAGAAGUACAAACAGGUGGAGCAGUACAUGUCCUUCCACAAGCUCCCGGCAGACAUGCGGCAGCGCAUCCACGACUACUAUGAGCACCGGUACCAGGGGAAGAUGUUUGAUGAGGAGAGCAUCCUGGGGGAGCUGAGCGAGCCCCUGCGAGAGGAAAUCAUCAACUUCAACUGCCGGAAGCUGGUGGCCUCCAUGCCCCUGUUUGCCAACGCAGACCCCAACUUUGUGACGUCCAUGCUGACCAAGCUGCGGUUCGAGGUGUUCCAGCCGGGUGACUACAUCAUCCGGGAGGGCACCAUCGGCAAGAAGAUGUACUUCAUCCAGCACGGCGUGGUCAGCGUCCUCACCAAGGGCAACAAGGAGACCAAGCUGGCCGACGGAUCCUACUUUGGAGAGAUCUGCCUGCUGACGCGGGGCCGGCGCACGGCCAGCGUGCGAGCCGACACCUACUGCCGCCUGUACUCCCUGUCCGUGGACAACUUCAACGAGGUGCUGGAGGAGUACCCCAUGAUGCGCAGGGCUUUUGAAACCGUGGCUCUGGACAGGCUGGACAGAAUUGGCAAGAAGAAUUCCAUUCUGCUGCAUAAAGUCCAGCAUGACCUGAAUUCGGGUGUUUUCAACUACCAGGAGAAUGAGAUCAUCCAGCAGAUCGUGCAGCACGACAGGGAGAUGGCUCACUGUGCUCACAAUGUCCAGGCUGCCGCCGCCGCCGCCUCCACACCCACCCCGGUCAUCUGGACCCCACUGAUCCAGGCCCCCCUCCAGGCUGCAGCAGCCACCACAUCUGUGGCCAUCGCCCUGACCCACCACCCCCGGCUCCCCACAGCCAUCUUCCGUCCACCUGUGUCUGUCCUGGGCUCCCUGGGGCAACAAUCCAACCAGACUCCCAGGCAGCUGAAAAGAUUUCAAUCCCUAAUCCCAUCAACCGGCCCCUCUGCCGUAGGCUCUCCCUCCAGUACUCCAUCCCAGCUGCACACACCCGGAGCAGAAACCCCCUCGUCCUCUUCCUUCCACAUCCAGCAGCUCGCAGGGUUCUCAGCUGCCGCCGGCUUAGGCCAGUUCCAGGUGGGAUCCCCUCCAGGUGGCUCAAGCCAGCCGGGUUUGAGCAGCACCUCCUCGGUGGGACUGAGCCAGUUCCAAAACGCACCUUCUGGAUCACCCUUAGGUGCAGCUCAGCCGGUGCAGCAGCAGCAGCAGCAGCAACAACAGCAACAGCAGCAGCAACAGCAGCAACAGCAGCAGCAGCAGCAGCAGCAGCAGCCAGCCCUUUCCAGCAGUGGAUUUGGGCACUUCCAGCAAGCCACAACCAGCUCCCCAUCAACGUCCCUCACCCAGCUCUCAUCAAACUCACCCCCCAGUCUUCUCAACCAGUUCCAGCCAACCACCAGACCACUGCAGGGGGGACAGUUACAGCAGCUCUCGGGCAGUGGGACUUUGGGGGGAAUGAAUCACUUCCAACCCCCUCCUUCUUCCAACUCUCCAUCCUCCAGCCUAAGCCAACUGGCACAGGCCUCAGGUGGGCCGUCCUCAGGCCUGUGCCAAACACAUCCAAGUGCAUUAGGAUCUUUAACUGGAACGAUAGCCCAGCUCCACCAAGAACGGCCUCCCUUUGCCUCCGUGUCUCCACUACAACAGUCCGGUGUCGCCUCUCCCUCUUACACCCCUUCUGGCCUUAGUCCUCCCAGUCAGAGCCCAGUGGCUACAAGAACUUUCCAGAGUGGCCCUGCCGGGCCCACAGGCUCUCACGGCUCGCUGCUGCUGCCCCAGCCCGCCAGCCCCCCUCCGCAGAUCCUGCAGGCCAAGGCCGCGGCGCCAGUGCCGGUGCCGCCGGGACGGCUCAACCAGGACAUCAAGCUGAUCUCUGCUUCCCAGCCAUCUCUGCCCCAGGAGCUGGCGCAGACACUGGGCCACAGUUCUCCUCAUUCCUCUAGAGAAUCUGUUUCCAGCUUCUCUCCUUUUCCUGGAGGAGGGACUGGACUUCUGGGGAAGCCUUGUAGCUCGAUCCCCGGGCGUGUGACUUUGCCGCGGCAGAUGUCCUCAGGGUCUUUGCCACACCCGCUGGUGUUCGGGGCCGGCGCUGCUCCUCUGACUGCUGGUGGGCGCAAAGAAUCCAUAGUGCUCACAGGGGAUCUGGAGCCCGUCAGAUCCAAACUGCCCUCCAAUUUGUGAGGACUCCUCCCGAGAGCUGGUUAUGUCAGCCCUGCAGUUCAGUUCCUGAUUAGUUCAUGAAGCAUUUUUUUUUUCCCUUUCCUUCUCUCCCACCCCGCACCCGCUUUGUUUUCUCCAUUUCGUUUGUUUAGGUUUAACUGUGCUUAGAAACAAAGAAAAACACAUGAAAAACAACAACAACAACAAAAAAGAAGAUAACCAGGUUCAUCUUGAAACAGGAAUUGAAGCAGACUCACAGACCCUCUCAUAUUUUCAAAGUUGUUUUGCAGAUGUGUGUACGAAAUCCUUCACGUUAAUGGCAGACGUGGCAACUCUGGCUGACUGUGUGAUCCGUGGAGAAGGGCCCAAGGAGCAGGAUGCAGAUGUGAACAACCUGGAACAGGGACUGCCACAGGAAGCAGACAAAGCAGGGAGGAAGGAAGCAGCAGUUUCCAGGUCUCAGACUAAGCUGGAUGGUGAUUCCAAGGUCAGGAGCUGAUGUAUUUUAGGAAGCUUUGCAGCCCAGGACUGAAGACCCCACCUCAUCUCUAGGGGAAGAUGAAGUUACAGGAGGUGGAGGCACUGACAGCCAGCCUAAAAUGAAAAAGGGACACAGCCUGUGGCAGCCCAGCCUUGCCCUGCCUGCAGCCUGCUGAGGGGGUCAGGAUGAUGCUCCCAAGGACACGAGUGACCAGGAAAGUGGCUGAUGACCAGUGGGAGUCCCAAGUAUGAGAGAAGGAGGCUGGAGUCAGCAUGGAGCAACAUGGAUACCCAUCACUGCACUUCAAAAGGUACAGAAAAAGCUCUCUAUUCCAUGAUUAUAAUAUUAUUUUUCAUGAUUUGCCAGUUUACUAAGGCUACUAAAAUGUCCUUUCCCUGAUGUGAACCCCUUCCUUUUCUACUUGCUUAUUAAAAGGUGGUAUUUUUUACCAUGGAGCUUUGAAAUAGAAGGAAGGCAGAGGUUACAUGUUCAGUGUCUGCACAAAGACUGAGGGAGAGUAACAAUUUUCCUCUUCCUUCUCUGGAGGACACAACC
This is an RNA transcript of Corapipo altera (White-ruffed manakin), 4684 nucleotides long. It is a transcript of the gene named hyperpolarization activated cyclic nucleotide gated potassium channel 4, with no coding region annotated. The record is from RefSeq and is a predicted model, not a curated record. The transcript has 12 exons. Lineage: Eukaryota; Metazoa; Chordata; Aves; Passeriformes; Pipridae.